GAUCAUGGCUCAGGAUGAACGCUGGCGGCGUGCCUAACACAUGCAAGUCGAGCGAAGCGUUUUUAAAGGAAGUUUUCGGAUGGAAUUUGAAAUGACUGAGCGGCGGACGGGUGAGUAACGCGUGGGUAACCUGCCUCAUACAGGGGGAUAACAGUUAGAAAUGACUGCUAAUACCGCAUAAGCACACAGUACCGCAUGGUACAGAGUGAAAAACUCCGGUGGUAUGAGAUGGACCCGCGU
Molecule: ribosomal RNA, 240 nt
Filed under: uncultured bacterium
Lineage: Bacteria
Description: partial 16S ribosomal RNA
Rfam family: Bacterial small subunit ribosomal RNA
Source: RNAcentral